UGCCGGGAUGGGGCGGCGUGAUGUUUUCCCAACCCCGCCAGGUCCGGAAGGAAGCAACGGUAAGAUUCGUUGCGGGUGUCCUGUCCCGGUAUUU
Molecule: signal recognition particle RNA, 94 nt
Filed under: Oligoflexales bacterium
Lineage: Bacteria; Pseudomonadati; Bdellovibrionota; Oligoflexia; Oligoflexales
Also listed under: 1 other name
Description: signal recognition particle sRNA small type
Rfam family: Bacterial small signal recognition particle RNA
About the family: The signal recognition particle (SRP) is a universally conserved ribonucleoprotein involved in the co-translational targeting of proteins to membranes. Archaeal SRP consists of a 7S RNA and homologues of the eukaryotic SRP19 and SRP54 proteins.
Source: RNAcentral